UUGAUGAGAACGGAGAUCCUCCUGCUGCCUAUGACAUUAUAAACUGGCAACUCAACAAAGGAGUGGUCAGCCAUGUGACAGUGGGUCACUUUGAUACAUCACCAGAUGGAGGCAGUCAGCUAGUGAUUGAUGAGGACAGUAUUGUCUGGAGCACUGGGAGAGAGGUUCCCAAAGCAGUGUGUUCUGAGAGCUGCCCCCCAGGCACAAGAAGAGCAGCCAGGAAAGGCCAGCCUAUCUGCUGCUUCGAUUGCAUUCCUUGUGCUGAUGGUACCAUAGCAAACACCACAGGUGCAGCUGAGUGCAUUAACUGUCCACAGGACUACUGGUCUAAUGAUGCAAAAGACAGCUGCAUCCUCAGAGACAUUGAGUU
Molecule: non-coding RNA, 370 nt
Organism: Lepisosteus oculatus (spotted gar)
Lineage: Eukaryota; Metazoa; Chordata; Actinopteri; Semionotiformes; Lepisosteidae
Source: RefSeq, a predicted model, not a curated record